GACGAACGCUGGCGGCGUGCUUAACACAUGCAAGUCGAACGAGAAUCUGCGGAAAGAGGAUUCGUCCAAUUGAAGCAGAGGACAGUGGCGGACGGGUGAGUAACGCGUGAGGAACCUGCCUUUCAGAGGGGGACAACAGUUGGAAACGACUGCUAAUACCGCAUGACACAUCGGAGUCGCAUGGCUCUGAUGUCAAAGAUUUAUCGCUGAAAGAUGGCCUCGCGUCUGAUUAGCUAGUUGGUGAGGUAACGGCCCACCAAGGCGACGAUCAGUAGCCGGACUGAGAGGUUGAACGGCCACAUUGGGACUGAGAUACGGCCCAGACUCCUACGGGAGGCAGCAGUGGGGAAUAUUGCACAAUGGGCGAAAGCCUGAUGCAGCAAGCCGCGUGAGUGAAGAAGUAUCUCGGUAUGUAAAGCUCUAUCAGCAGGAGAAAAUGACGGUACCUGACUAAGAAG
Molecule: ribosomal RNA, 458 nt
Filed under: uncultured bacterium
Lineage: Bacteria
Description: bacterial SSU rRNA
Rfam family: Bacterial small subunit ribosomal RNA
Source: RNAcentral